This 730-nucleotide long non-coding RNA is filed under the name Equus asinus (donkey). RNAcentral describes it as "lncRNA (ENSEASG00005025625.1)". Lineage: Eukaryota; Metazoa; Chordata; Mammalia; Perissodactyla; Equidae. The record is from RNAcentral.
AUCCGCUUAAACUCACAAUCUCUGGGAAUGAGACCUAAGAAUCAGUACUUGUAGAAAGCUCCAGGGCCGGUUCCGGGCCGGUUCCGUGGCCGGUUCCGUGGCCGAGUGGUUAAGUUCCCGUGCUCUGCUGCGGCGGCCCAGGGUUCAGAUCCUGGGCGCGGACACGGCACCGCUCAUCAGGCUACGUUGAGGCCGGGUCCCACAUCCCACAACUAGAAGGACCUGCAACUAAGAUAUACAACUGUGGAAACUGAGGCCAAGAACAUUACAUAGGCAGUUCCUGGCCUUAAGUUGGAAUAAGGAAACCUGCAUUGGCUCAACCAAUUUUUGCUAUGAGAUUUAAAACAUUUCCCCUGGGAAAAGAAGUCUAAAUUUCUCCUCUUUGAAAAGGAGUGACUCAAAUGGCAGACAUUCUUUAUUAAUCUGAAUAUCCCAAGGGGAGGUUAUCACUGUCGUGCUGCCCUAGUGCCACCUACACCUGGUGUGCAGGUAUGAAAGUAUCAUUUAGAAUAUGGAAAAAUCUCAGACUAGUGAUGUGACCGGCGUUUCCUUUCAACAUUUUCUUCUGCGCUUCUGGUUCACCCCCUCACCCAGCUUUUCCUCUUAUACAUCCUCUUCAUUGUUAGCAAAAGAACGGAGACACAAGUCCUGGAUGUGGAGCAGCCAUCUUUUGACCAUAAGGUAGAAGACCACACAAGUCCUGAUGACUUCUUUGAGCAACUACACUUCU